Molecule: ribosomal RNA, 1342 nt
Filed under: uncultured bacterium
Lineage: Bacteria
Description: 16S ribosomal RNA
Rfam family: Bacterial small subunit ribosomal RNA
Source: RNAcentral
GACGAACGCCCGCUGCGUGCUUAACACAUGCAAGUCGAACGGAAAGGCCCUGCUUUUGUGGGGUGCUCGAGUGGCGAACGGGUGAGUAACACGUGAGUAACCUGCCCUUGACUUUGGGAUAACUUCAGGAAACUGGGGCUAAUACCGGAUAGGAGCUCCUGCUGCAUGGUGAGGGUUGGAAAGUUUCGGCGGUUGGGGAUGGACUCGCGACUUAUCAGCUUGUUGGUGGGGUAGUGGCUUACCAAGGCUUUGACGGGUAGCCGGCCUGAGAGGGUGACCGGCCACAUUGGGACUGAGAUACGGCCCAGGCUCCUACGGGAGGCAGCAGUGGGGAAUAUUGCACAAUGGGCGGAAGCCUGAUGCAGCAACGCCGCGUACGGGAUGACGGCCUUCGGGUUGUAAACCGCUUUCGCCUGUGACGAAGCGUGAGUGACGGUAAUGGGUAAAGAAGCACCGGCUAACUACGUGCCAGCAGCCGCGGUGAUACGUAGGGUGCGAGCGUUGUCCGGAUUUAUUGGGCGUAAAGGGCUCGUAGGUGGUUGAUCGCGUCGGAAGUGUAAUCUUGGGGCUUAACCCUGAGCGUGCUUUCGAUACGGGUUGACUUGAGGAAGGUAGGGGAGAAUGGAAUUCCUAGUGGAGCGGUGGAAUGCGCAGAUAUCAGGAGGAACACCAGUGGCGAAGGCGGUUCUCUGGGCCUUUCCUGACGCUGAGGAGCGAAAGCGUGGGGAGCGAACAGGCUUAGAUACCCUGGUAGUCCACGCUGUAAACGGUGGGUACUAGGUGUGGGGUCCAUUCCACGGGUUCCGUGCCGUAGCUAACGCUUUAAGUACCCCGCCUGGGGAGUACGGCCGCAAGGCUAAAACUCAAAGGAAUUGACGGGGCCCCGCACAAGCGGCGGAGCAUGCGGAUUAAUUCGAUGCAACGCGUAGAACCUACCUGGGUUUGACAUGGAUCGGGAGUGCUCAGAGAUGGGUGUGCCUCUUUUGGGGUCGGUUCACAGGUGGUGCAUGGCUGUCGUCAGCUCGUGUCGUGAGAUGUUGGGUUAAGUCCCGCAACGAGCGCAACCCUUGUUCACUGUUGCCAGCACGUUAUGGUGGGGACUCAGUGGAGACCGCCGGGGUCAACUCGGAGGAAGGUGGGGAUGACGUCAAGUCAUCAUGCCCCUUAUGUCCAGGGCUUCACGCAUGCUACAAUGGCUGGUACAGAGAGUGGCGAGCCUGUGAGGGUGAGCGAAUCUCGGAAAGCCGGUCUCAGUUCGGAUUGGGGUCUGCAACUCGACCUCAUGAAGUCGGAGUCGCUAGUAAUCGCAGAUCAGCAACGCUGCGGUGAAUACGUUCCCGGG